This 232-nucleotide ribosomal RNA is filed under the name uncultured bacterium. RNAcentral describes it as "partial 16S ribosomal RNA". It matches the Rfam family "Bacterial small subunit ribosomal RNA", at positions 87 to 334 of the family's 1533-position model. The record is from RNAcentral.
UGCAGUGAGUGGUGAACGGGUGAGUAACGCGUAGGAACCCGCCUCGACGUGGGGGAUAACACUUGGAAACAGGUGCUAAUACCGCAUGUGGUCGGAAGAAGAAAGGCGAAAGCCGCGUUGAGAGGGGCCUGCGUCCGAUUAGCUAGUUGGUGGGGUAAGGGCCUACCAAGGCGACGAUCGGUAGCUGGUCUGAGAGGAUGGUCAGCCACACUGGGACUGAGACACGGACCAG